CAGCGAGUUUUGAGCUGCUGUCCUCACUCCACCGUGUCCGCCCUGAGCGUGGAGCCCGACAGGCGCAGUGUCCCCACAGCCGUGCGCCCAGGACCACGGCCACUUCGAGGGCACCCCCACUCUCCCUAAAAGUCCUGUCCCUCCUUUUCUACCUUGAGGAAGAGUCUGUGAAGGACGGGUGCUAAUUCUUCGUUUAGUGUUUGGUAGGUAGAGGCCACCAGUGACCUCGGGGCCUGCGCUUUCCUUGACGGGAAGUUUUAGAACUUCUAAUUCAGCCUCUUUGCCUGUUACAGGCCUGUUCGGGUUUUCGUAGUUCUUCACGAGCCACACUUGGACUGCCUCGUUCGUGUUUCGCCAGGGUCUUCGCGUGGAAGUUUAAGUUAACGAGUUGACAUCUCGUUUCUUAAUCCAGGAACUCCCAGCCCCAGGCUCCCCGUCAGCAGGGCUCUGCUGCGGCCGCGCGUCUGGCGGUGCCCCAUUUUGUUCAUUUCGGGCUAUUUUCCACUGUCCUCGGGAUUUCUCCCCCCGAGUCAUCGGUUGUUCAGGAGCGUGUUGUCUGUCACAUUUAUGAGGUCCCCAACUUUCUCCGUGUCCCGACUUCUGGCUUCGUCGCACUGUGACCGAUAACACAGCUGGUGUGAACCCAGUCCUCGUAGAAUUCUGGGGCCUUGGGUCAGGGCCGAGACGCGGCCGCCCGGCCGGGCCCCGAGUGCGCGUGGGAGGGCUGCGGGCCUUCUCGCUCGGCUCCCUCCCUCGGCGCGCUCGUGGGGAGACAGCCGUCGGGUGUGAGGACACCGGAGCAGCUCUGAGGAGCGGUCCGUGCGGGGAGGAGCUGAGGCCAGCAGCCCACAUGCUGACUGAAUGAGUCGCUUCGGAAGCGGCUCUCCAGCCCCCGUCGGCCUUCGCGUCACCGCGGCGGCCCUGGCCGACACCUUCUCCAACCUCACAAGAGACCCCGGGCCAGAACCACCGGCCCAACCACUCCGGAAAUCCUGCCCACAGAAGCUGUGGGAGACGGUGACUCUCCGUCACCAGAAGCCACCGCGUUUCGGGCGAUCUGUGGUGCGACGUCAGACAACGGACACCGCUACCCGCACACCUGCUGGGUUUCCGGAGGGACGCUCUGGACACGCAGCUGCACUUCUGGCGGAAGUUUCGUGUUUUCUGAGGGAAGAGAACGGAAAACGCGGGUUAGUAAUUCUUCUCUCCUUGAGGCGGCGAGAGCCCGAGGCGCGCACUUUGCGAUGAUGACCUCGAGGCCUCGAGGAUAAAGGAAUCCGGGAGGAGAGACCCUGAUGUGGGCCGUCGCGGGGAAUUCUGGUUUCCUGACGCCCCAAACUCCCGCGCCUGGUGAAGGGAGCUGGUCGGGAUCCUGAGGGUCAGCGGUCAGCCCCUCCACCGAGCAGAUCGGGACUGAACCGGGCGUCAAAAGCGAGGGGCCCUCCGCCCGGGGGGGGGGGUGCUCAGUCGGUCGAGCGGCCGACUCUUGGUUUCGGCCCCGGUCAGGAUCUCAGGGUUCGUGCCUCUGAGCCCCGCGCCGACCGCGUGGAGCCUGCGCGGGCUCCCCUCCGUCCCUCUCUCUCUCCGCCCCUCCCCUGCCCACGCGGGCUCGCGCUCUCUCUCAAAAUAAAGCAACAAAUAAAAACGUGCAAAACAAAGCGAGGUGCCCUCUGCGGCACCACAGGGGCGCCACGAAUUCUACUUCCUGUUGCCGCCAACUGGCGGCUUUCUCUCAGAAGUCUCCUUCUGUUUUUGUUUUGUCUUUGAACAGAAAUCAAAUUUCUUUGGGCUGUUUUAUACAACCUGGAAUCAGUUUUGUAUUUGAUAAAAUGUGGCCCUUAUUUUUUUGAGUUUAUUUAUUUCGAGAGGGAGAGAGCAAGCGAGUGCGAGUCGGGGAGGGGCACAGAGAGAGAGAGAGAGAGAGAGAGAGACAGACAGACAGACAGACAGAGGGUCCCAAGCAGGCUCCGUGCAGUCAUCGCAGAGCCCAAACCCGACUUGGGGCCCAGUCCCACCAACUUGAGAUCAUGACCUGAGCCAAAAUCAAGAGCCGGACGCUUAACUGACUGGGCCCCCGAGGCUUCCUGUGGCCCUUAUCAGUUACGUGAAUUAACAUAAAACACAAAAAUGCCUCUUAACGACUGGUUUCAUAUUCUGUUUAUGUGAAGGGGACCCAUUUUCAGUUCAAUAAAAUUAAUUAUCGGCAAGCCUUACGAACGUGUGCACACGUGCAUGUGUGUGCGCGUGCACACAGACAUUAGUACAUUCUUCUGGAGCGCUCUCUAUUUUUUCAUCAGAUUUUCACAAAAUACUGCCCUGUAACAAGUGAAGACCUCUUAGAAUAAAAGAAAGGAGACGGAAUGAA
Long non-coding RNA from Lynx canadensis (Canada lynx), 2365 nucleotides. RefSeq lists it as uncharacterized. The transcript is spliced from 2 exons. The record is from RefSeq and is a predicted model, not a curated record. NCBI's taxonomy places the organism in Eukaryota, Metazoa, Chordata, Mammalia, Carnivora, Felidae.